AUUGAACGCUGGCGGCAGGCCUAACACAUGCAAGUCGAGCGAGCGGCGGACGGGUGAGUAAUGUAUGGGGACUGCCCGAUAGAGGGGGAUAACUAGUGGAAACGGUAGCUCAUACCGCAUACUAUCGGAUAACCCAUAUGGGAUUAGCUAGUAGGUGAGGUAAUGGCUCACCUAGGCGACGAUCCCUAUAUGGUCUGAGAGGAUGCUCAGCCACACUGGGACUGAGACACGGCCCAGACUCCUACGGAGGCAGCAGUGGGGAAUAUUGCACAAUGGGCGCAAGCCGGAUGCAGCCAUGCCGCGUGUAUGAAGAAGGCCCUAGGGUUGUAAAGUACUUUCAGUCGGGAGGCGUUACCGACAGAAGAAGCACCGGCUAACUCCGUGCCAGCAGCCGCGGUAAUAC
This 403-nucleotide ribosomal RNA is filed under the name uncultured bacterium. Its description in RNAcentral is "partial 16S ribosomal RNA". It matches the Rfam family "Bacterial small subunit ribosomal RNA", at positions 30 to 526 of the family's 1533-position model. The record is from RNAcentral.